This 296-nucleotide unclassified non-coding RNA is filed under the name uncultured fungus. RNAcentral's name for it is "sequence contains ITS1". The stretch from base 1 to 97 matches the Rfam family "5.8S ribosomal RNA", at positions 50 to 154 of the family's 154-position model. The record is from RNAcentral. Lineage: Eukaryota; Fungi.
GAAAUGCGAUACGCAAUGCGAAUUGCAGAACCGCGAGUCAUCAGAUCUUUGAACGCAAGUGGCGAUAGCUUUGGCUAUCAUGUUUGUUUCAGUGUAUCCGGUUAAUUACAUCAAAGAACUUAAUGUGAUUGAAGCAAUUCUCUCACCAAAUACGAGGUUACUUCAUUGUAACGCCUAACCGAAGCAGUCACUAAUCGGUGAUCAUCGUUUAGAGCCAAACAUUGUUUAACAGUAACUUAGAUACACUUUAUCCACUAAUGGUACCUGAAAUAAGCAAGACUACCCGCUGAACUUAA